This 466-nucleotide ribosomal RNA is filed under the name Delta dimidiatipenne. Its description in RNAcentral is "partial 12S RNA". The record is from RNAcentral. Lineage: Eukaryota; Metazoa; Arthropoda; Insecta; Hymenoptera; Vespidae.
UACCCUAUUAUAAUAAAAUAAAAAAAAAAAUUUAAGCUAUUAAAUGUUAAAUCAUUAAAAUAAAUAAAUUUGGCGGUAUUUAAUUCAUAUUAGAGGAACUUGUUUACUAAUUGAUAAGCCACGAUAAGAACUACUUAAUUUAAUAUUUAUGUAUUGCUGUUUUAUAAUUAAUUUUGAAAAUUUAUAUUAAAAUUUUUUUUAUAUAAAUAUAUAUAUAUAUAUAAUAUAUAUAUAAUUUAUAUUAUAAGAAAAUAAUUCAAGUCAAAAUAUAGUUUAGUUAAGGUUUUAAUGAGUUACAAUAAAAUAAAUUUAARAUAUUAUAUUAAAUUUAAUAUAAUAAUAUUUAAUAAUAWUAAAUAUAAUGAAUUUAAAAAUUUAAUUUUUUAAUGAAGGUGGAUUUAAAAGUAAAAUUAAAGAAUUAUAUUUAAUUUGAAAAAUGUUUUUAAAUAUGUACACAUCCCCCGUC